Long non-coding RNA from Monopterus albus (swamp eel), 1156 nucleotides. RefSeq lists it as uncharacterized. The transcript is spliced from 3 exons. The record is from RefSeq and is a predicted model, not a curated record. NCBI's taxonomy places the organism in Eukaryota, Metazoa, Chordata, Actinopteri, Synbranchiformes, Synbranchidae.
UCAUGUACACUUACUUGGCAUGUGUUCAUAGGGAGUUUGAGACAUGUUAGCUGCUCGACUUUAUGAAAUCGAUUUGCUCGCCUAAUGAAGGGUUAAUAAUUCCAAGCUGCAUUUAAAAUAUAUACCGUUUGAUUCAGAAAUUCGUGAAAUUAAGCCUUAGGAAAGUUUUGGAAAGGAUCUGUCUGUGCUAGCUGUGUAUUUUCUAUCUUCUCUAGUCGACGCUACACCAGCUAAUGAGAGCUAAUGACACGUGACAUUAAUGUCAAAAAUGCAGCUUGACAGAAUUCUUGUAUGCAACCGAAUGUCCCCGCAGAUUGCAUUAAUGAUUAUACAACGUGUUAGGUAAUGAUUUAUCGCAUAUAUUUUUUCAUUGCCGUCGAAGUCAUAAAAGCGUUAAAUCUCGAAAUGAAGUUCGGUGUAACGUUACCUUACUGGCCGUAAGCGUGCGAAGGAAAGAAAGGGACAUGUUGACGGAGAACACAUCCGGAAGUAACGUUAGCUGAGAUGGUUCACGGCAGAUGGGGUUUCCAUUUCACUAGUUCUUUGGAGCAUGGUGACUACAGGUUUAACACGAUGAAGUGAAAGUUGCAUGUUUAGUAAUCGGAUAGUGAGAAGAUGGUGCGGUUCUUGGCGCAAUAAGGAGUAGCUAAUGCGUCUUUGACAGUCUGUCUGAUCUGCAGCAGCUGAGAGUCCCAGUCUGCUUCACCAUGCCACUGGUGGUGGAUGCUGUGUGGGUGCUGUGGAGCAUUGGAGCUGGCAUCUAUGACUACUUCCACACCAGUGCCAUGGAGGAGAGGAUCCACACACUGGAAAAUGUCCUCUCUAUUCACCAGUUUGUGAUCGCAGCCCUGUCAGCAGGUCUUAUCCUGCUCAUGACCUACAUACUAUGGAGAAAACAUUAAACUUUGCUGACAGAUGCACCCACUUGAUGUUCAUUUAUUGCACAAUAUGUUGUAUUACCCAGGGUAGUUUUGAUCAAGAUGUUGGCCAGAGUGAGAGUCUGGCUCAUACAGCUUCUCACACUUGGGAUCAUGCAUGUUCAGAACGUUUGGGAUGUCCCAGAUGAGGUCAGAAGCACUGAUGGGCAACCAAACCGAGUAACGCCACACCAUAAGGACAUGGUCUCAAAUGACUUGUCAGGUACCCUUCAGGUAGU